RNAcentral lists this long non-coding RNA (7092 nucleotides) under Homo sapiens (human). RNAcentral's name for it is "non-protein coding lnc-SBDS-4:9". Lineage: Eukaryota; Metazoa; Chordata; Mammalia; Primates; Hominidae. The record is from RNAcentral.
AUCAGCCUCCUGAGAGCUGGGACUACAGGCGCCUGCCACCACAUCCGGUUAAUUUUUGUAUUUUUAGUAGAGAUGGGGUUUUGCCAUGUUGGCCAGGCUGGUCUUGAACUCCUGAGCUCAGGUGAUCUGCCCACCUCGGCCUCCCAAAGUUCUGGGAUUACAGGCGUGAGCCAUGGUGCCCAGCCUGGCUCCUGUUUUUUGAGACAGGGUUUCACCCUGUUUCCCAGGUUGGAGUAUAGUGGUGCCGUCAUGACUUACUGCAGCCUUGAACUCUUUGGCUCAAGCAGUCCUCCCCACUCAGCCUCUCUAGUAGCUGGGGCUCCAGGCAUGAAUCACCGUGCCAGACUAAGUUUUUUUAAAAUUUUUUGUAGAGAGAAUCUCUCUCUGUUGCACAGGCUAUUCUUGAACUCCUAGGCUCAAGUGAUCCUCCUGCUUCAGCCUCCGAAAGUGCUGGGAUUACAGUUGUGAGUCACUGUGCCUGGCUCUUUUAAUCUUGAAAACUCUGGGAAGAGCUCACUUCUGUUUAGGAGGCUGCCUUGGGAACUGCAUCUCCUGGGCUGGUGCUCUGUGCUGCUUGGAGUCUGCAGACCCUAUCUGGGUCGCUUGGCCUCCCGUGCACAAGCUGCCAGAAUGGAGGCCCCAUUCUCAAUGUGGGGGCUGCCCAAAGAGCAGGGAGCUUCCCACAGGACAGAGGCUGGGCACCUGCUUGGCCUGGUUCUUCCUUUUCCCAGGGCUCCAACACCCACCCCCUCAGGUCCUCCCAAACCCUGCAGGUCCCUGGCCUGGUCCGUCCACACCUACACUCAGGAAUCUCUACACAUCUCUGAGUUGCUGCAUCUGUCUUCAGGCACAGCCCACCAGCCCCCCUGGGUACCCAAAGACACCGCAAAUAUCAGCCAUUCCAGACAACGUCCUCCUCCCGUGUCCCUAUCUCAUGGAGUAAUGCCUCUAAUUCAGCCACACCAAGACCCCACGCUCCACAUCCCCUAGAACUCUCAUCUCCUGUGGCCCAACAUGGCCCUUCCUUUCAGCAGUGGGAUGUGGGAAGGAUCAAGGUCACCCUUGUCCAAAUCCCAUGCAGACAACGGUGUUGGAGUCUUGGGCCCAAAGACCAGCUCCUAGAACCUGCAGGGAAGCAACGGCACGUUCCAUCUCUCCCCAUGCCACUGAGGAAUCAUUGGUGGCAGGAUUCUCAGCAGGCAUGGCCGUGGGUGCACAGAACAGAGAAAGGAUGGCCUGGACCACACACAUCACUGUGUGCAGAUGCUUUCCUAGACACUGCAGCCAAGGACACAGAGGCUCAGAGAGAAUAACCUCCAUCUCCUGGGUCCCAGCGAUUCUCCUGCCUCAGCCUCUUCCUAUUUCACAAGUAGGGAAACUGAAGCCCAGGUAGGCAAGCCUGACUUGCUGGAGUCACACAGGAAGUUGGCAGCUCUGCUCCAUCCCUGGGAUCUGGAGCCCCUGCUCUGGGGAAGGAGAGGUGGGGCGCUGCCUUCCCAGAGUCCCCUCAAGCUGGCAGGGACGGCUGUACCCCCAGGGUCAGAGGAGAACUAAAAGGAGCGGAAGCUGGCCUGGGUCCAGGGAGAGACCUCGUGUUUGCCCAAAAGGGAGCUGGAGAGGGGCAGCUGGGCCCAUAUGCAGGGAGGAGCUGCAGGGAGCUGGUGGCGGGGCAGCAAAGAGAAGUGGAUUUGGUGGGUAGAGGGGCCCCUCCUUGGUUCUAGUCCUCCCCGCAGCCCCUUGCAAACAGGCGGGGCUCUCCUGUCCUUCUUGUCUCCUGCAGCAAGCCCUACAUGAAGAGGCCUCUUUGGUGAGUGGCAGCUCAACCUCUGCUAAAUGCCUCCAGUGAUGGGGAGUUCACUACCUUCCAAAGUUUUUAAAAGAUGUUAACCACUGCUAUUCAAGAACAAUUCUAGAAUUUUUUUUUUUUUGAAAGACAAGGUCUCAUUCUGUCUCGCAGGCCAGAGUGCAGUGGUGUGAUCAUAGCUCACUGCAGCUUUGACUUCCUGGGCUCAAGCAAUCCUCCCUCCUCAGCCUCCUGAGUACCUGAGACUACAGAUGUGCACCACCACACUGGCUCAUUGUUUUCAUUUUUUGUAGAGACAGGAUCUCACUAUGUUGCCCAGGCUGGUCUCCUGGCUUCAAGCAAUCCUCCUGCCUUGGCCUCCCAAAGUGCUGGGAUUACAGGCGUGAGCCACUGCAUCUGGCCUUUUUUUUUUGGAGAUAGAGUCUCGCUCUGUCGCCCAGGGUGGAGUGCAGUGGCGUGAUCUCGGCUCAUUGCAACCUCCGCCUUCCGGGUUCACACCAUUCUCCUGCCUCAGCCUCCCGAGUAGCUGGGAUUACAGGCAUCUGCCAACCAUGCCUGGCUAAUUUUUGUAUUUUUUGGUGGAGACAGGGUCUCACCAUGUUGGCUAGGCUGGUUUCGAACUCCCGACCUCAGGUGAUCUACCCGCCUCAGCCUCCCAAAGUCCUGGGAUUACAGGCUGAGCCACCGCGACCGGCCCUGCUGUUGCUUCUGAGGUUUGAAAACCGCUGCCUCAAUGCUCCUGAUUCAGCUCUUCUUACCCAAAGGUUCCCCCACCUCAUCUACUCUGUUCCUGCACAGUCGCCCUUUUCUCUGAUGCCCCGGGCAGGUUUCUCUCUGCCAGCUCCACGCUUCUGGAGUCCCCCAUCCGUCUUGGGGCCCAGCUGCCCACUGUCUGGGUUCAGACCUUCUCAACACUCCCUGGCUUCUCUGCCCUAGUUUUGCCUUCUCCAAUCCACUCUUGGUGGGUGGAAGUACGGUUACCAUGGUAACUUGAAGACAACGCAAAUCUGAUUGUAUCAUUACAAUGACUGGGAAAACCUCCAGUGCCACAAAAUAAAGCUCAAGUCACUAGCUUUGCAGUCCAGGCCCUUUACCAUUCCGGCAGCAUUUCUGGGGGCUAUUCUCCUUCCCCCCACUGCACAACCCCGCCUGGCCACCCCAGGCUCAGGCUGCAGAACAGCGUAGACCAGGGAGUGGCUUUGGGGUCAUGCUAACUACCUGGUUUUUGUCUCUUUCAGGCUGUUUGCUCAGUUGCAAAAUGGGAAGGACAACAGCACCCGCCUCACAGGCUAAGAGGCUGUGUGUGAAAAGCCCGCAGCACAGGAUCUGGCACGCGUGGACGUGCGGGAUGGGAGGAGGGGAUUUCCCAGCUCCUCAUCUCUGCAGGGACUGGCCUUGGCCUAGGGAACACUAGCUGUCCAGGGAGGGGGAGCUUUCCCUGAGCCCCCCGAUGUGUGGCAGGCAGAGGAGAGCAAGCUACUUCUGGGAGGGGAGUUGUGGGGAAGGGCAAGUUAGUCUUUACUGAGGGUGGCAGUGAGCUGGCACUUUGGUCUCACCUCGGCUGCAGAAACCCACCCUGCUCCCGUCUUAUUUCCUGGGGAUUUCAGCUGUGUGCAGGCACAGAUGCAUCUCCCAAGUGCCUCAUGCUUGCCUUGAUCUCCUCUCCUUCCUCUGGCCAGUCCUGAACCUCUUGGUGAUCCACGGCGGCACCUCUGUGUCCUACAUCCUUCUCUGGCCAUCUCCUUCCCUCCUUCCAGCCCUCCCUCUAGGACCCUGACCCCAACCAUCCUUCAUCCCCAUGGGGACAUUCAGUCCACUGACUCAUCACCCUCCCCUGUCCCUCUGUGAGAGAAGGAGCAGGCAGAGAGGAUCUUGCAAGAGCCUUCAGCAACUCUCUUCCACCCAUCCUGUUGCUUGCUGCUUUUUUUUUUUUUUUUUCCAAAAAAAUAGAGAUGGGGUCUUGCUAUGUGGCUGGUCUCAAACUCCUGGGCUCAAGUGAUCCUCCUGCCUCGGCCUCCCAAAGUGCUGGAUUACAGGCGUGAGCCACCACACCCGGCUCCGUUCCCUUUCUAAGCAGGGUGCUCCUUUUCUUGCCAUUUCCCCCAUCCUCCUUCCUCUCCCACAGCUCACUUCCCUCUCUACUGAAUCUGCUGAAGAUCAUGCAGCUGCUGUUCCUGCCUCUAAAACCCUCUCUUGGCUGGGUGUGGUGGGUGACAUAUGUAAUCCCAGCACUUUGGGAGGCUGAGGCAGGAGAAUCACUUGAACCCGGGAGGCGGAGGUUGCAGUGAGCCGAGAUUGCGCCACUGCACUCCAGCCUAGGUGAUAGAGCAAGACUCUGUCCCCUCCCUCCACCAAAAAAAUAAAGCCCUCUCUGCAUCCAUUCCACUCUCCACUCUUGCUCAUUCUCUCCUGCCCUCUAAAAGGUGAUCUGUCUUUGGCAGAUUCAAUCACUUGCCUUUCUCAUUCUCUCCUGAGCCCACUAUUCCACUCUGGUCCCCACCACUUCCCCCAAAACUGCUUUGAACCAUCGCACUGCAACCUGUUGCUUAGCCCCUCCAUCUAGUCUCAGGCGUUAGGACUGACUGCCCAGCAGAGGCUGGUGCAACCAAUCACCUCCUUUAGUAAGUUUCUCCCUGGGCUUCACCUCUUCACCUGUGGGCUUUCCACCUGUCUCUCUCUUUUUUUUUUAAGACAGUCUCCUCUGUUGCCAGGCUGGAAUGCCGUGGCGCAAUCUCAGCUCACUGCAACCUCUACCUCCUGGGUUCAAGCGAUUCUCCUGCCUCAGGCUCCCAAGUAGCUGGGAUUACAGGUGCCCGCCACCACACCGGGCUAAUUUUUGUAUUUUUAGUAGAGUCGGGGUUUCACCAUGUUGCCCAGGCUGGUCUCGAACUCCUGACCUUACGUGAUCCACCCGCCUCAGCCUCCCAAAGUGCUGGGAUUACAGGCGUGAGCCACCGCACCUGGCAGUCUCCCUAAUUUAAUUCAGUGCCACUGCGGGCAGGUGGGGUGUGGCCUGGUUGGGCAGUAUAGAGCUACCAGCUACCAAUGGUGUUCAGCCCUCAGGGUCGAGCGUGGGUUGUCUCAGCCCCUUGCAGGCAGGGCUGGAGUUCCUUCUGGUGCGAGUUGGGGGACCCAGCUCCCCCAUCCCUCUGCAACCCCAGGCCCCCCACCAGGUCCCCUCUGGUUCAGCCUGGUGCCUUCCAGCACCCCUGGCCCCCAGAAAUCCCUGGUCCACAGCUCCCUUGACCUGAGGCCUGAAAUUGACCCACUGCCCCCUGAGGCUUGGUCCAAGUCCAAGUAUGCCUUCCUCUCCAGCCAGAUGCCUGCCUGCCACUCAGCAUGUCAGAGCAGGCAGGGCCUCUAGAUUUUAAUGGGGAAACUGAGGCACUGAGGGCAGAUGUGAUGUCCCCAGUUGGGAAAACAUUAAAGACAUUCUGGGCUUCUCUCUCUUUUUUUUAGAGACAAGAUCUCACUCUGUCAUGCACGCUGGAAUCAUGGCUCAUUGCAGCCUCCAACUCCUAGGCUCAAGGGAUCCUUCCACCUCAGCCUCCCGAGUAGCUGGGAGUACAGGUGUUCGUCCCCACCAUGUCUGGCUAAUUUAAAAAAAUGUCUUUGCAGGAUGGGAUCUUGCUAUGUUUCCCAGGCUGGUCUCAAACUCCUGGGCUCAAGUGAUUUUCCCAUCUUGGCCUCCCAAAAUACUGGGAUUAUACGUAUAAGCCACCACGUCUGGCCUGAGUCAUCUCUUUUGACCCAGAACAAAACCAGUCCAGGAGUGGCUGUACUCCCCAGGAGUGUACACUGGGGAGGCCCACAGCUCCGGGGUGCAGUGGGGCUCUUGCAAUUUAAUGACUGAUUCAUCUUCAAAAAAGCACAAUCUCAGCCAGGCGUGGUGGCUCAUGCCUGUAAUCCCAGCACUUUGGGAGGUUGAGGCGGGCUGAUCACCUGAGGUCAGAAGUUUGAGAUCAGCCUGGCCAACAGGGUGAAACCCUGUCUCUACUAAAAAUACAAAAAUUAGCCAGGUGUCGUGGUGCACACCCGUAAUUCCAGCUACUUGGGAGGCUGAGGCAGACGAAUCACUUGAACUCGGGAGGUGGAGAUCGCAGUGAGCCAAGAUCGUGCCAUUGCACUCCAGCCUGGGCAACAAGAAGCGAAACUCCAUCUUAAAACAAACAAAACAAAACAAAAACAAAAAAGCAUAAUCUCUUUCAGAAUUUUUACCUUCUUGGUGUGGUUCUGUUAGGAAAGGCUUCCAUGGGAACCUUCAAUAAGUGACCUAAAAAAAAAUCUCAGAGCAAUUCCUUUUUUUUUUUUUUUUUUUUUCAGACAGCAUCAUGCUCUGUCACCCAGGCUGGAGUGCAGUUGCACAAUCUCAGCUCACUGCAACCUCCACCUCCUGGGCUCAAGCCUUCCUCCUGCUUUGGCCUCCUGAGUAGCUGAGACUACAGGUGCAUGCCACCGUGCCCGGCUAAUUUUUAAAUUUUUUGUAGAAACGGGGUCUUGUUAUGUUGCCCAGGCUGACCUCAAACUCUUGGCCUCAAGCGAUCCUCCUACCUUGUCCUCCCAAAGUGCUGGGAUUACAGGGGUGAACCACUGUUCCUGGUUUAGAGCCAUUCUUUUUUUUUUUUUUUUUUUUUUUGCUUUGUGGUUUUGAGACGGAGUUUCACUCUUGUUGCCCAGGCUGGAGUGCAACGGCAUGAUCUCGGCUCACUGCAACCUCCGACUUCCAGUUUCAAGCGAUUCUCCUGCCUCAGCCUCCCGAGUAGCUGGGAUUACAGGCAUCCGCCAUCAUGCCCAGCUAAUUUUUUUGUAUUUUUAGUAGAGACGGGGUUUCACCAUGUUGGGCAGGCCGGUCUCGAACUCCUGAUCUCGUGAUCUGCCCGCCUCGGCCUCCCAAAGUGCUGGGAUUAUAGGCAUGAGCUACCACGUCCGGCCCUAGAGCCAUUCUUAACAGGGUUUGUCUCCCUGGAAACUUCCCGAAGCCUCACCCUCCCAGGAAUUCCCUGCUAAGUGCCACAGUCAUCUCUUCACCACUCGGUUUCCACUCUCCCAUCCUUGCACCGAGAUCCCACUGUUAGGCCUUUUUCAAGCACGGACCUUCUCAUGCUCAGUCUCUCUGUGGUGUGGAAGUGUCUACUGGGUGGGCCUCACAGAAGGUUCCAGGCCCUGGUACAAGCCCAAGGGAAAUGAUGAUCCAAAAUGGACUCCGAUAAAGUUUCUGCCACUCUGCAUUGGGGGCUUUUGGUAGGAGUCCAGUUCAAUUUUAUAAAAAUAAAAAUACAUGUCUCGCA